AGCAGAUCAUUCCUCCCUUUGUGAGUACCCAUGUUUCAGCAACAAGUACCCAUGUUUCAGUGACAAGUCUUCAACUGAUUGGAUGAGGCCCACCACAUUAUAGAGGACAAUUUGUUUUGCUUAAAGCCAACUGAUUGUUGCAGGCCAAAACUAUCUUCCACUAACGGAGGGCCAAGAAACUCAAGUCAAGGAUUCUACACUAUCACCAGUGAAGGAUGGCAGGAAACUUGCUCUCAACCAAGACCCUCUGGUACAAGGUAGAGCUUGGAACCCUUGAAGGGAGAAGCAGCCCCACCCCUGAGGUUCAAGUACACAAAGACUGCAUAGGACAGAGGCUGGAGGAGAAAACCCUUGUGCCCAUCACAAGUAACAAGCAAAAUCUGUCCACACCAUGCAGUAGCUAAGACUUUUCAGGGGUUUGGGUCAGGUUCCCUGGAAUAACAUGGAUCUACAGGUAGAAAUCAGGAGCCAGUGCCAGUGGUGUAAAUGUUCCCUAGAGAACUAUUUCCAAAUGUCUAAGCAAAAUUCUUCUAAUGGGAGAAGAAAAUGGCUUGGGGUAUUCUUUUGAGGGUACAGUUCUGUGAGUGGAGAGGUGUAUGCCUCUACAGUGACUUGAACAUUCUGAUAUGACAGGCCUUUCACUAAAUGCCCAGUGAAAGGUGAGGGCACGUUGG
Molecule: long non-coding RNA, 674 nt
Organism: Suricata suricatta (meerkat)
Lineage: Eukaryota; Metazoa; Chordata; Mammalia; Carnivora; Herpestidae
Exons: 3
Source: RefSeq, a predicted model, not a curated record